RNAcentral lists this ribosomal RNA (383 nucleotides) under uncultured bacterium. RNAcentral's name for it is "bacterial SSU rRNA". It matches the Rfam family "Bacterial small subunit ribosomal RNA", at positions 525 to 896 of the family's 1533-position model. The record is from RNAcentral.
ACGGGAGGGGCAAGCGUUACCCACCAUGACUGGGCGUAAAGAGUCCGUAGACUGUAAAGUAAGUUACUUGUUAAACUUUAAAGCCUAACUUUAAAUUAGCUUGUAAUACUGCUUUACUUUGAGUUUUAUACAGAAGAGUAGAAUUUUAUAUGGAAGGGUAAAAUCUAAAAAUAAAUAAAGGAAUAUCAGUAGCGAAGGCGACUCUUUGGUAAAAACUGACGUUGAGGGACGAAAGUGUAGGUAGCAAACAGGAUUAGAUACCCUGGUAGUCUACACUGUAAACUAUGAGUGCUGUAAUUUAAUGUAAAAGUUAAAAACUUUUAUUUAGAUUUUUUAAGCUAACGCCAUAAGCACUCCGCCUGAGAAGUACGAUCGCAAGGUUG